This 73-nucleotide transfer RNA is filed under the name Heterocephalus glaber (naked mole-rat). It matches the Rfam family "tRNA". Rfam says of the family: Transfer RNA (tRNA) molecules are approximately 80 nucleotides in length. Their secondary structure includes four short double-helical elements and three loops (D, anti-codon, and T loops). The record is from Rfam by way of RNAcentral. Lineage: Eukaryota; Metazoa; Chordata; Mammalia; Rodentia; Bathyergidae.
GGAGGUAUAACUCAGAGGUAAGAGUGCUUGCCUGGCAUGUAUAAAGCCCAGGGUUUGAUCCCCAGUACCACAA